UACGUAGGGUGCGAGCGUUGUCCGGAAUUAUUGGGCGUAAAGGGCUCGUAGGCGGUCUGUCGCGUCGGGAGUGAAAACUCAGGGCUUAACCCUGAGCCUGCUUCCGAUACGGGCAGACUAGAGGUAUGCAGGGGAGAACGGAAUUCCUGGUGUAGCGGUGAAAUGCGCAGAUAUCAGGAGGAACACCAGCGGCGAAGGCGGCAUCCUGGACUGGUCCUGACGCUCAGGAGCGAAAGCGUGGGGAGCGAUCCGG
This 253-nucleotide ribosomal RNA is filed under the name uncultured bacterium. RNAcentral's name for it is "partial 16S ribosomal RNA". It matches the Rfam family "Bacterial small subunit ribosomal RNA", at positions 524 to 776 of the family's 1533-position model. The record is from RNAcentral.